RNAcentral lists this ribosomal RNA (275 nucleotides) under uncultured bacterium. Its description in RNAcentral is "partial 16S ribosomal RNA". It matches the Rfam family "Bacterial small subunit ribosomal RNA", at positions 399 to 691 of the family's 1533-position model. The record is from RNAcentral.
GCGUGAGUGAUGAAGGCCCUAGGGUUGUAAAGCUCUUUCGACGGGGAUGAUAAUGACAGUACCCGUAGAAGAAGCCACGGCUAAAUUCGUGCCAGCAGCCGCGGUAAUACGAAUGUGGCAAGCGUUGUUCGGAAUCACUGGGCGUAAAGAAUGCGUAGGCGGCUUAGCAAGUCAGGAGUGAAAUCCCGGGGCUUAACCUCGGAACUGCUUUUGAAACUGCUUUGCUAGAGUCCCGGAGGGGUUAGCGGAAUUCCGAGUGUAGAGGUGAAAUUCGC